RNAcentral lists this transfer RNA (70 nucleotides) under Cavia porcellus (domestic guinea pig). It matches the Rfam family "tRNA". From Rfam's summary of the family: Transfer RNA (tRNA) molecules are approximately 80 nucleotides in length. Their secondary structure includes four short double-helical elements and three loops (D, anti-codon, and T loops). Further hydrogen bonds mediate the characteristic L-shaped molecular structure. tRNAs have two regions of fundamental functional importance: the anti-codon, which is responsible for specific mRNA codon recognition, and the 3' end, to which the tRNAs corresponding amino acid is attached (by aminoacyl-tRNA synthetases). tRNAs cope with the degeneracy of the genetic code in two manners: having more than one tRNA (with a specific anti-codon) for a particular amino acid; and 'wobble' base-pairing, i.e. permitting non-standard base-pairing at the 3rd anti-codon position. Lineage: Eukaryota; Metazoa; Chordata; Mammalia; Rodentia; Caviidae. The record is from Rfam by way of RNAcentral.
UGAAGUGUUGCUCAGUGGUACAGCAUUUGCCUGUCAUGCAUGACCCUGGGUUCCACCCCCAGCACUGCAA